GGGCGGGCCCCACGGCGCGAGGCGACGGGAGCAGCGCCGCCACAGAAAGCAGCACGCGGCCGGGCCACCACACACGCACGCACAGAUCUCUGCCCCCGACGGCCCGAGCGCCGUCCUCCGCCACAGCUUCGCCAUGGGCGCGCGCUAGCCCCGCCCUUCUUAUCCCCGCUCCCCGACCACCCAUGGCCGCUGCUGCCGCUCUCGUCCCAUGGCACUCCUCGCGCUCCGCCUCGGCCACAGCGGCCUCCUCCCCGCCCCGCCGCUCCGCCGCCACCGCCAACGCCAGCAGCGCCAGCGCCUCCUCGUCUCCUGCAGCGCCGUGAGCGACGGGGGCGCGGCGGUGGUGUGGUUCAAGCAUGACCUCCGCCUCGACGACCACCCGGGCCUCGUCGCCGCCUGCGCCGAGCCCCGCCGCCGCGUCGUCCCGCUCUACGUCUUCGACAGCCGCAUCCUCGCCGGUUACUCAGACACGAGGCUGGAACUGCUACUUUUUGCUUUGAAAGACCUUAAGUUGGCGUUGAAGUCUCAACGGUCUGAUCUGCUCAUAGGCUUGGGAAAUGCUGAAGAUGCUGUUCUGAAAAUCACAAAUGAGGUCGCUAUGCAAGGUACAAGCGGGUGUCAUUUAUACAGAAGAGGAAGUUGAACAGUGUGUGUGCAGUGUUUUAGCCAAUGUUGAAUCUUCUUUGUCUAAUGGAUCGUUCACACGGGGAAACCCUCCUGAGAUCAAGUUCUGGAGUGCCCCGUUGUAUGACUAUAAGAGCUUGAGGCAACUGUCAACAUCACGCAACCAAUUUUUGAAUGAGAAAUUCUCGACAACUACAGCUCUCCCUGCCCCCACUCUUCCUACUCUAAAUGUGGAGUUAGACACAGGUUCUCUACCCACACUUGAAGAACUAAAGGUAUUCCUGAAAGAGAGCAGAAUGGCACAAGAUAAUUGGGUUCCUAUCAAGAGCACGUCAGCAAGAUCUAUUCUCAAAGCCGCCCUCAUUCAGAGGAAGAUUAAAAGUAAUGUUUCCUUAAGUGAUGGCGAUGGAGAAAACAUAGAAGAUAUCACCACAAGUGCUGGUGCACCAGGGAGGAAAAUAGCAGGUUCAAUGUUUGCAUCGGAAAGUUCACUUGAAGUUAGAGGUGGAACAGACAUUACUCUGGAUGCUUUAGAUGCUUACCUGAAAUACCUAGAAGGCACAGGAAAGGCUAGUUGGCAAGAGUUGCAUGAUAAGGUGCGCUUUGCUGAAACCAGGGAUGGUGCUUCGUUUCGCACGUUAUUUGGUAAUGCAAUUCAGCUUGGAGUCAUAUCUAGGAGGAGAGCUUACCAAGAAACUAUUCAAUAUGAGAGAGAUCGCAAUGCUGGCUUUCUAUCACCGUUUGGAUACUCAACCCCUACAGUGACAUCAGCGGUAGAUGCUAUCUGUUCAUUGGAGUGGUACUGGCUCUUGGCAUUGAAAUCCCAAGUAUCCAUUGAGGGAAAUUAUCCUUUAAAGUUUUGGAGAUGGAAGGGUUAUCUUAUACAGUAUACAUCUGUUGGCCAUGAAGGUCCUGCAGUUCUUCUUGUGCAUGGCUUUGGAGCUUCCUUGCAGCACUUUCGUGAUAAUAUCAGCAACAUUGCUGAUGAAGGACACCGAGUUUGGGCAAUUACCCUUCUUGGCUUUGGGAAAUCAGAGAAACCAAAUGUUGACUAUUCAGAACUUCUGUGGUCAGAGUUACUGAGGGACUUCAUUGUUGAUGUUGUGAGGGAGCCUGUUCAUCUUGUAGGCAACUCUAUUGGAGGUUAUAUCUGCGCUAUUGCUGCUGGCUUAUGGCCUUCCCUUGCAAAUUCUCUUGUUCUUCUGAACUCAGCUGGUUCAGUUGUUCCAAAUUACUCCUUCAUCCCACUGAGUAAAGAAGGACGAACCUCAUGGCUUUCAAGGUUGCAGGCACGCCUCCUUUUGCUCUUUUUGAGGUCAAGGGUAGGAGGCAUUCUCAAGGGAUACUAUCCUACUAGAACUGAACGGGUUGACAAGCCACUCGUGGAUGAGAUUAUAAGAGCUUCAUAUGACCCUGGUGCAACAACAGUUAUCGAGAGCAUAUUCAACUUCAAUCUUUCAAUUCCUCUUAAUUUUCUAUUCGAUUCUUUUGGAGGGAACAUCUUAGUUAUUCAGGGAAUAAAAGAUCCGCUUAUAAAAUCCGAGUCAUUCAUUUCCAUGCUUAGAGAGCAUUGCAGCAAGGUCCAAAUUAGGGAGUUAAAUGCAGGACAUGCUCCGCAUGAUGAAGUUCCUGAUGAAGUGAACUCCUUACUGUCUGAAUGGAUGAAAACGAACAAGACUGAACUUAAGCCAGCUUUGGAGAAGUCCAAGGCAAUUUAGAAACUGGUUUACGACUGACGCCUCCAGGUGCAUGCUUACAGUCUUCCAUACUGAACAAUCCUUCUUUGCUACAGAAAGGUGUCUUCCUGGGCAAUGGACCAUGGUUUCAUCAUCAUGAGCAUGCAUUACAUCAUUAUUGCAUUUAUCGAGCUCCGUUCGACGGAAUAUCGACCAAUUGCUGGCGACCUGCGCCCUUUGGAAGAUCAUGCGAUGCCCCUGUCAGUUUGGUCACCUUCUUUCUCCGUUGAGAAAGAAUCAGGGCAUUAGCACUCCAUGACAGCAACCUCUCCACUGUUCUUAAGAGUCCAGAGUGAUAUCAUGUCAGUCAUCAGUCACUCAUGAUACAUGGUGUGAUUAAUUUGUCCUCCUUUUGCGUUGAUGUGCAAUCUUCAGUGAUUUGCUUGGCCUCUUUUUUCGAGACUGUGAUAUAUGCUUGGCUUUGCUUUGCAUUGCAAGGAAUCUUGUACGUAGGUCCAGCAUCGGCAGCACUUGAUAUAUCCCUCUUAGUGCGUACGAUCUUGGUUCUUUUUACUUGCCGUUUUUGACGAUAUGGUAUCCAGUUUACGCAUUUGAUCGUGACCUUAUCUAAUUAAAGGCUAGUACGAUAGUAUGAUGAUAAGUCCUUUUUAUGAUGAAUGAAUCUACCAAUAACAUGUGCACAUGAAACUUGGUAGACACUGUCUUCUGAUCCAAGUAUUGAAAGGCUG
RNAcentral lists this ribosomal RNA (3049 nucleotides) under Triticum aestivum (bread wheat). Its description in RNAcentral is "partial small subunit ribosomal RNA". The record is from RNAcentral. Lineage: Eukaryota; Viridiplantae; Streptophyta; Magnoliopsida; Poales; Poaceae.